GCUCAUAUAACCUAAAGGAGAAGGUAGGGUACUUCUAAUACCCUUAUUUUGGUUCGAUUCCAAAUGUGAGUA
Endogone sp. FLAS-F59071 is the source of this 72-nucleotide non-coding RNA. NCBI's taxonomy places the organism in Eukaryota, Fungi, Mucoromycota, Endogonomycetes, Endogonales, Endogonaceae. The record is from the annotation of a GenBank genome assembly.